CGUGGCUGUUGAAGAUGUGGCUGUGGACUUUUCCCCGGAAGAGUGGACCUUGCUGGAUCGUUCUCAGAGGAAACUCUACAGACACGUGAUGAUGGAAACUUUCAGAAACCUGGCCUCAGUGGUUUCACAAAACCUGGAUGAUGGAGAAAAGCUGUCCACUGAAAAUACAAGAGUGAAGUUCCUGAAAAAGGACACCUGGUCCUCCGUGGUAGGAAAACCAUGUGUGUUUCCUGUCGUUCAAGAUCAGGAUAAGAAGCAGAACUCUUGCGGCAGAAGACAUAUCAAACUGAAUGUCUGUGAAAUGAAG
Echinops telfairi (small Madagascar hedgehog) is the source of this 307-nucleotide long non-coding RNA. RefSeq lists it as uncharacterized. Lineage: Eukaryota; Metazoa; Chordata; Mammalia; Afrosoricida; Tenrecidae. The transcript is spliced from 3 exons. The record is from RefSeq and is a predicted model, not a curated record.